RNAcentral lists this ribosomal RNA (2931 nucleotides) under Escherichia coli. RNAcentral describes it as "23S ribosomal RNA". It matches the Rfam family "Bacterial large subunit ribosomal RNA". The record is from RNAcentral. Lineage: Bacteria; Pseudomonadati; Pseudomonadota; Gammaproteobacteria; Enterobacterales; Enterobacteriaceae.
GGGUUGUGAGGUUAAGCGACUAAGCGUACACGGUGGAUGCCCUGGCAGUCAGAGGCGAUGAAGGACGUGCUAAUCUGCGAUAAGCGUCGGUAAGGUGAUAUGAACCGUUAUAACCGGCGAUUUCCGAAUGGGGAAACCCAGUGUGUUUCGACACACUAUCAUUAACUGAAUCCAUAGGUUAAUGAGGCGAACCGGGGGAACUGAAACAUCUAAGUACCCCGAGGAAAAGAAAUCAACCGAGAUUCCCCCAGUAGCGGCGAGCGAACGGGGAGGAGCCCAGAGCCUGAAUCAGUGUGUGUGUUAGUGGAAGCGUCUGGAAAGGCGCGCGAUACAGGGUGACAGCCCCGUACACAAAAAUGCACAUGCUGUGAGCUCGAUGAGUAGGGCGGGACACGUGGUAUCCUGUCUGAAUAUGGGGGGACCAUCCUCCAAGGCUAAAUACUCCUGACUGACCGAUAGUGAACCAGUACCGUGAGGGAAAGGCGAAAAGAACCCCGGCGAGGGGAGUGAAAAAGAACCUGAAACCGUGUACGUACAAGCAGUGGGAGCACGCUUAGGCGUGUGACUGCGUACCUUUUGUAUAAUGGGUCAGCGACUUAUAUUCUGUAGCAAGGUUAACCGAAUAGGGGAGCCGAAGGGAAACCGAGUCUUAACUGGGCGUUAAGUUGCAGGGUAUAGACCCGAAACCCGGUGAUCUAGCCAUGGGCAGGUUGAAGGUUGGGUAACACUAACUGGAGGACCGAACCGACUAAUGUUGAAAAAUUAGCGGAUGACUUGUGGCUGGGGGUGAAAGGCCAAUCAAACCGGGAGAUAGCUGGUUCUCCCCGAAAGCUAUUUAGGUAGCGCCUCGUGAAUUCAUCUCCGGGGGUAGAGCACUGUUUCGGCAAGGGGGUCAUCCCGACUUACCAACCCGAUGCAAACUGCGAAUACCGGAGAAUGUUAUCACGGGAGACACACGGCGGGUGCUAACGUCCGUCGUGAAGAGGGAAACAACCCAGACCGCCAGCUAAGGUCCCAAAGUCAUGGUUAAGUGGGAAACGAUGUGGGAAGGCCCAGACAGCCAGGAUGUUGGCUUAGAAGCAGCCAUCAUUUAAAGAAAGCGUAAUAGCUCACUGGUCGAGUCGGCCUGCGCGGAAGAUGUAACGGGGCUAAACCAUGCACCGAAGCUGCGGCAGCGACGCUGAUGCGUUGUUGGGUAGGGGAGCGUUCUGUAAGCCUGCGAAGGUGUGCUGUGAGGCAUGCUGGAGGUAUCAGAAGUGCGAAUGCUGACAUAAGUAACGAUAAAGCGGGUGAAAAGCCCGCUCGCCGGAAGACCAAGGGUUCCUGUCCAACGUUAAUCGGGGCAGGGUGAGUCGACCCCUAAGGCGAGGCCGAAAGGCGUAGUCGAUGGGAAACAGGUUAAUAUUCCUGUACUUGGUGUUACUGCGAAGGGGGGACGGAGAAGGCUAUGUUGGCCGGGCGACGGUUGUCCCGGUUUAAGCGUGUAGGCUGGUUUUCCAGGCAAAUCCGGAAAAUCAAGGCUGAGGCGUGAUGACGAGGCACUACGGUGCUGAAGCAACAAAUGCCCUGCUUCCAGGAAAAGCCUCUAAGCAUCAGGUAACAUCAAAUCGUACCCCAAACCGACACAGGUGGUCAGGUAGAGAAUACCAAGGCGCUUGAGAGAACUCGGGUGAAGGAACUAGGCAAAAUGGUGCCGUAACUUCGGGAGAAGGCACGCUGAUAUGUAGGUGAAGUCCCUCGCGGAUGGAGCUGAAAUCAGUCGAAGAUACCAGCUGGCUGCAACUGUUUAUUAAAAACACAGCACUGUGCAAACACGAAAGUGGACGUAUACGGUGUGACGCCUGCCCGGUGCCGGAAGGUUAAUUGAUGGGGUUAGCGCAAGCGAAGCUCUUGAUCGAAGCCCCGGUAAACGGCGGCCGUAACUAUAACGGUCCUAAGGUAGCGAAAUUCCUUGUCGGGUAAGUUCCGACCUGCACGAAUGGCGUAAUGAUGGCCAGGCUGUCUCCACCCGAGACUCAGUGAAAUUGAACUCGCUGUGAAGAUGCAGUGUACCCGCGGCAAGACGGAAAGACCCCGUGAACCUUUACUAUAGCUUGACACUGAACAUUGAGCCUUGAUGUGUAGGAUAGGUGGGAGGCUUUGAAGUGUGGACGCCAGUCUGCAUGGAGCCGACCUUGAAAUACCACCCUUUAAUGUUUGAUGUUCUAACGUGGACCCGUGAUCCGGGUUGCGGACAGUGUCUGGUGGGUAGUUUGACUGGGGCGGUCUCCUCCUAAAGAGUAACGGAGGAGCACGAAGGUUGGCUAAUCCUGGUCGGACAUCAGGAGGUUAGUGCAAUGGCAUAAGCCAGCUUGACUGCGAGCGUGACGGCGCGAGCAGGUGCGAAAGCAGGUCAUAGUGAUCCGGUGGUUCUGAAUGGAAGGGCCAUCGCUCAACGGAUAAAAGGUACUCCGGGGAUAACAGGCUGAUACCGCCCAAGAGUUCAUAUCGACGGCGGUGUUUGGCACCUCGAUGUCGGCUCAUCACAUCCUGGGGCUGAAGUAGGUCCCAAGGGUAUGGCUGUUCGCCAUUUAAAGUGGUACGCGAGCUGGGUUUAGAACGUCGUGAGACAGUUCGGUCCCUAUCUGCCGUGGGCGCUGGAGAACUGAGGGGGGCUGCUCCUAGUACGAGAGGACCGGAGUGGACGCAUCACUGGUGUUCGGGUUGUCAUGCCAAUGGCACUGCCCGGUAGCUAAAUGCGGAAGAGAUAAGUGCUGAAAGCAUCUAAGCACGAAACUUGCCCCGAGAUGAGUUCUCCCUGACUCCUUGAGAGUCCUGAAGGAACGUUGAAGACGACGACGUUGAUAGGCCGGGUGUGUAAGCGCAGCGAUGCGUUGAGCUAACCGGUACUAAUGAACCGUGAGGCUUAACCUUACAACGCCGAAGGUGUUU